CGGCCGCGUCGACGUGGGGUAAAGGCCUACCAAGGCAAUGAUGCGUAGCCGAGUUGAGAGACUGAUCGGCCACAUUGGGACUGAGACACGGCCCAAACUCCUACGGGAGGCAGCAGUAGGGAAUCUUCCACAAUGGACGCAAGUCCGAUGGAGCAACGCUGCGUGAGUGAAGAAGGUCUUCGGAUCGUAAAGCUCUGUUGUUAGGUGAAGAAGGAUAGAGGCAGUAACUGGUCUUUAUUUGACGGUAAUCAACCAGAAAGUCACGGCUAACUACGUGCCAGCAGCCGCGGUAAUACGUAGGUGGCAAGCGUUGUCCGGAAUUAUUGGGCGUAAAGCGCGCGCAGGCGGUCCUUUAAGUCUGAUGUGAAAGCCCACGGCUCAACCGUGGAGGGUCAUUGGAAACUGGAGGACUUGAGUGCAGAAGAGGAAAGUGGAAUUCCAUGUGUAGCGGUGAAAUGCGUAGAGAUGUGGAGGAACACCAGUGGCGAAGGCGGCUAUCUGGGCAGUUUAUUGACGCUGAGGCUACGG
Molecule: ribosomal RNA, 528 nt
Filed under: uncultured Lactobacillus sp.
Lineage: Bacteria; Bacillati; Bacillota; Bacilli; Lactobacillales; Lactobacillaceae
Description: bacterial SSU rRNA
Rfam family: Bacterial small subunit ribosomal RNA
Source: RNAcentral